Molecule: long non-coding RNA, 291 nt
Organism: Rhododendron vialii
Lineage: Eukaryota; Viridiplantae; Streptophyta; Magnoliopsida; Ericales; Ericaceae
Exons: 2
Source: RefSeq, a predicted model, not a curated record
GAGCGAUACUGAGCUUCUCGUCGCGGAAAGAGACUACAACGGAUAUGAGCUUUGCGAGGAGGAAGGAGAAAAUGAGGCCUAUGAAAACUGAUUGUACGAAUUGGAAGAGUUGUUUCGAAUCAGAGAGAGAGAGAGAGAGAGAGAGAGAAAUCUCGGAGAACCCUGUGGAGAAGUACGAUGCUGAAACCCUAGAAAAGUGGACGAGGUUUUAGGUAUGUGUGUAGAAUUAGAACGGGAAUUGAGCUGUUUGACAAUUCCGACAGUUCUUCCUUGGAGAGAGAGAGAGAGAGA